CGCUAUCAGAUGAGCCUAGGUCGGAUUAGCUAGUUGGUGAGGUAAUGGCUCACCAAGGCGACGAUCCGUAACUGGUCUGAGAGGAUGAUCAGUCACACUGGAACUGAGACACGGUCCAGACUCCUACGGGAGGCAGCAGUGGGGAAUAUUGGACAAUGGGCGAAAGCCUGAUCCAGCCAUGCCGCGUGUGUGAAGAAGGUCUUCGGAUUGUAAAGCACUUUAAGUUGGGAGGAAGGGCAUUAACCUAAUACGUUAGUGUUUUGACGUUACCGACAGAAUAAGCACCGGCUAACUCUGUGCCAGCAGCCGCGGUAAUACAGAGGGUGCAAGCGUUAAUCGGAAUUACUGGGCGUAAAGCGCGCGUAGGUGGUUUGUUAAGUUGGAUGUGAAAUCCCCGGGC
This 400-nucleotide ribosomal RNA is filed under the name Escherichia coli. RNAcentral's name for it is "bacterial SSU rRNA". It matches the Rfam family "Bacterial small subunit ribosomal RNA", at positions 216 to 608 of the family's 1533-position model. The record is from RNAcentral. Lineage: Bacteria; Pseudomonadati; Pseudomonadota; Gammaproteobacteria; Enterobacterales; Enterobacteriaceae.